UACGUAGGAGACGAGCGUUGUCCGGAUUUAUUGGGCGUAAAGAGCGUGUAGGCGGCCUGAAAGGUCAGCUGUGAAAACUCGAGGCUCAACCUCGAGACGUCGGUUGAAACCAUCUGGCUAGAGUCCGGAAGAGGAGUGUGGAAUUCCCGGUGUAGCGGUGAAAUGCGCAGAUAUCGGGAAGAACACCCGUGGCGAAGGCGGCACUCUGGGACGGUACUGACGCUGAGACGCGAAAGCGUGGGGAGCGAACAGG
RNAcentral lists this ribosomal RNA (253 nucleotides) under uncultured bacterium. RNAcentral's name for it is "partial 16S ribosomal RNA". It matches the Rfam family "Bacterial small subunit ribosomal RNA", at positions 524 to 776 of the family's 1533-position model. The record is from RNAcentral.